This 1395-nucleotide ribosomal RNA is filed under the name uncultured bacterium. RNAcentral describes it as "16S ribosomal RNA". It matches the Rfam family "Bacterial small subunit ribosomal RNA". The record is from RNAcentral.
UUAGAGUUUGAUCCUGGCUCAGGAUGAACGCUAGCGGCAGGCUUAACACAUGCAAGUCGAGGGGCAGCACGGGUAGCAAUACCUGGUGGCGACCGGCGCACGGGUGCGUAACGCGUAUGGAACCUACCCACCGCAGGGGGAUAGCCCACCGAAAGGUGGAUUAAUACCCCAUGGCUUCCCGGAAUCGCAUGAUUCUGGGUGUAAAGCUACGGCGGCGGUGGAUGGCCAUGCGUGCCAUUAGCUAGUCGGCGGGGUAACGGCCCACCGAGGCUAUGAUGGCUAGGGGGUCUGAGAGGAUGAUCCCCCACACUGGUACUGAGACACGGACCAGACUCCUACGGGAGGCAGCAGUGAGGAAUAUUGGUCAAUGGGCGGAAGCCUGAACCAGCCAUGCCGCGUGCAGGAAGACGGCCCUACGGGUUGUAAACUGCUUUUGUACGGGAAGAAUGGCCCCCUCGUGAGGGGGUUUGACGGUACCGCACGAAUAAGGAUCGGCUAACUCCGUGCCAGCAGCCGCGGUAAUACGGAGGAUCCAAGCGUUAUCCGGAUUUACUGGGUUUAAAGGGUGCGCAGGCGGAACGACAAGUCAGUGGUGAAAUCUCCUGGCUCAACCAGGAAACUGCCAUUGAUACUAUCGUUCUUGAGUCCAGUUGAAGUAGGCGGAAUGUAGCAUGUAGCGGUGAAAUGCUUAGAUAUGCUACAGAACACCGAUAGCGAAGGCAGCUUACUAAACUGAAACUGACGCUCAUGCACGAAAGCGUGGGGAUCAAACAGGAUUAGAUACCCUGGUAGUCCACGCCCUAAACGAUGAUCACUCGUUGUUGGCAACUAUAUCGUCAGCGACUAAGCGAAAGCAUUAAGUGAUCCACCUGGGGAGUACGAUCGCAAGGUUGAAACUCAAAGGAAUUGACGGGGGCCCGCACAAGCGGAGGAGCAUGUGGUUUAAUUCGAUGAUACGCGAGGAACCUUACCCGGGCUCGAACGGUGCAUGAAUAUACGAGAGAUUGUAUAGUCCUUCGGGACAUGUAUCGAGGUGCUGCAUGGUUGUCGUCAGCUCGUGCCGUGAGGUGUCGGCUUAAGUGCCAUAACGAGCGCAACCCUUGUCAUUAGUUGCCAUCAGGUCAAGCUGGGGACUUUAAUGGGACUGCCACCGUAAGGUGUGAGGAAGGGGGGGAGGACGUCAAAUCAGCACGGCCCUUACAUCCAGGGCUACACACGUGUUACAAUGGCCGGUACAAAGGGCAGCUACACAGCGAUGUGAUGCUAAUCUCCAAAUCCGGUCUCAGUUCGGAUCGAAGUCUGCAACCCGACUUCGUGAAGCUGGAUUCGCUAGUAAUCGCGCAUCAGCCAUGGCGCGGUGAAUACGUUCCCGGGCCUUGUACUCACCGCCCGUCA